This 301-nucleotide ribosomal RNA is filed under the name uncultured bacterium. RNAcentral describes it as "partial 16S ribosomal RNA". It matches the Rfam family "Bacterial small subunit ribosomal RNA", at positions 509 to 808 of the family's 1533-position model. The record is from RNAcentral.
CAGUAGCCGCGGUAAUACGUAGGGCGCAAGCGUUGUCCGGAAUUAUGGGCGUAAAGAGCUCGUAGGCGGUCUGUCGCGUCUGGUGUGAAAUCCCGAGGCUCAACCUCGGGCUUGCAUCGGGUACGGGCAGACUAGAGUGCGGUAGGGGAGACUGGAAUUCCUGGUGUAGCGGUGGAAUGCGCAGAUAUCAGGAGGAACACCGAUGGCGAAGGCAGGUCUCUGGGCCGCAACUGACGCUGAGGAGCGAAAGCAUGGGGAGCGAACAGGAUUAGAUACCCGAGUAGUCCCUGUCUCUUAUACA